Molecule: ribosomal RNA, 483 nt
Filed under: uncultured bacterium
Lineage: Bacteria
Description: SSU rRNA
Rfam family: Bacterial small subunit ribosomal RNA
Source: RNAcentral
AGGACGAACGCUGGCGGCGUGCCUCAUACAUGCAAGUGGAGCGACGAACCAGGGUUUACCCUGGGGCAAAGCCGCGAACGGGUGAGUAACACGUGGGUUACCUGCCCCGAUGAUUGGGACAACCCGAGGAAACUCGGGCUAAUACCAAAUGUGCUCCUGGUCGUGAUGACCAGGUGGAAAGGAAGCUUCGGCCUCCGCAUCGGGAUGGGCCCGCGGCCCAUUAGCUAGUUGGUGGGGUAAUGGCCUACCAAGGCGACGAUGGGUAGCUGGUCUGAGAGGACGAUCAGCCACACUGGGACUGAGACACGGCCCAGACUCCUACGGGAGGCAGCAGUAGGGAAUCUUGCGCAAUGCGCGAAAGCGUGACGCAGCAACGCCGCGUGGGGGAGAAGGCUUUCGGGUUGUAAACCCUUUCAGCAGGGACGAAGCGAAAGUGACGGUACCUGCAGAAGAGCGCCGGCUAACUACGUGCCAGCACGCCGC